Molecule: ribosomal RNA, 494 nt
Filed under: uncultured Propionigenium sp.
Lineage: Bacteria; Fusobacteriati; Fusobacteriota; Fusobacteriia; Fusobacteriales; Fusobacteriaceae
Description: bacterial SSU rRNA
Rfam family: Bacterial small subunit ribosomal RNA
Source: RNAcentral
UCGACUGGAAUUCACCUUCGGGUGAUAGUACGGUGGCGGACGGGUGAGUAACGCGUAAAGAACUUGCCCUCUAGACUGGGACAACUGUUGGAAACGACAGCUACCGGAUAUUAUGAGAGCCUCGCAUGGGGAACUCAUGAAAGCUAUAUGCGCUAGAGGAGAGCUUUGCGUGCCAUUAGCUAGGUGGUGGGGUAACGGCCCACCAAGGCGACGAUGGCUAGCCGGCCUGAGAGGGUGAUCGGCCACAAGGGGACUGAGACGCGGCCCUUACUCCUACGGGAGGCAGCAGUGGGGAAUAUUGGACAAUGGACCAAAAGUCUGAUCCAGCAAUUCUGUGUGCACGAUGAAGGUCUUCGGAUCGUAAAGUGCUUUCAGGUGGGAAGAAAAAAAUGACGGUACCACCAGAAGAAGCGACGGCUAAAUACGUGCCAGCAGCCGCGGUAAUACGUAUGUCGCAAGCGUUAUCCGGAAUUAUUGGGCGUAAAGCGCGUCUA